UGACAUAAACAAAACAAGGGAUUUGUUUUGUUUUUAGCAGCGCUCCUAACUUACAGAUUUCAGUUGCGCACUAGUAAAGUGUACUUAAAAAUUCUUGUGGUUGUACAAAAAUGUGUAAUUGUUAGUCUUUUGAAACUUGCGAAAACCGGAGUCGUGCGAUGAUUACCAUAUACUUUCAUGCUGCUGACUAGCGCCGGAAUCAAUCAUCUCCGGAUCGAUUUGUGUGAAGCAUUCGGAGUUGCAGCUAUUCACCCGCGGUACCAAAAAAACUACCGAUAUCCGAAUGCAAGCCCGUUGCCGGGACUAGCAGUUCUGUUCGGUAUUUCAGCGUCACAUCGCAGUAAAUCGUAGGAUGUUCAGCUAUGAUUUGAUUACGUUUGUUGUAAUCGGCAGAUUGAGCCACCGAGCAAAAUGCACCAGCAGAAAUAUUACGGAUAAAGAACAGGAUAGUAUUCCCAAAGAAGUGCAGCUUUCCAAGAUGAUACUCUGUGGUGCGCAUCACACAACUCCCCACAGUUGGAGAAAAUCAUGGAGUGAUCAGAACUUUCCCGUUGCGUAAUAGGUAUCUAGCCUGAAACGAGCAAAACCAAAAGUAUAAACAGCUGAUUGUCACUAAACAGUA
Molecule: long non-coding RNA, 622 nt
Organism: Aedes aegypti (yellow fever mosquito)
Lineage: Eukaryota; Metazoa; Arthropoda; Insecta; Diptera; Culicidae
Exons: 2
Source: RefSeq, a predicted model, not a curated record